UGGGGAUCAAAAUUAAAGAACAAUUUAUGAACACUUGAUUUAUUUUUAUUUUUUUUAGAAACAAUGUAAUCUUCAUCGUUCAAAAUUUGAAGUAAUUUUAGUUGUGGCUAUACCUAUCACAGGUGCACUACUGAGUGGAGUGCGGAGCAAGGAAUGGAGGGAGAUGAGGAGUACAUCAAUCCAGAGAAGUUUAAUUAUAACAACUCACAAAGCACAUGUAGAUAUGAACAAUACCGGACCCCGAACUGAAAACAAGGAACACUAUUUAAACAUGACGAGACGAGAAAUACCUGGGAUCAAUGGAAAUGAGACAUGGGAAACACCUGGGAUGAAAUGAUAAACAAUCAGGGAGCAGGAACACACACAAGACAUGGAACAGAGUCUAACAUUACUCCCCCCCUCCUGGAAGGCACGACCUCGCACCACACAACAUCCAACGGGAAGUGGGGGUGGGCACUCUGGAGGUCCCUCAGGACAGACAAGUGAUAGUGGGCCUCCAGAGCGGUACCCGUUCGGGGCACCAUGGUGGAUCUGGGGACUCAGGAGUUCAUGGCGGAUCUGGGGACCCGGGAGGCCAUGGCGGAGCAGCCUCCGAGGCAGCGGCCCCAGCCCUGACCUCGACCUCUACAGCUGGCUCAGCCACGGGUAUAUACCCCCCCCCCCAAAAAAAUAGGCAUCUUGAUGGAGCGGGCACUUGAGGGCGCUCUGGAGGAAUGGGCACUUGAGCGAGCUCUGGGGCUGGAGCUGACACUGGAGCUAACUGGAGAUCCGUUGCCCUUCCUGGGUGGAACUGGGGAAUCAGGAGCCCUCCCAGGGUCAAACGGGGAAUCAGGAGCUCUACCUGGGCUUAAUGGGGAAUCAGGAGCCCUCCCGGGGCUUAACUCAGGAACAGGAGCCCACCCAGGGCUUAACUCGGGAACAGUAGCCCACCCUGGGCUGAACUGGGGAUCAGGAGCCACCCCAAAGCUGAACUGGGGAUCGGGAGCCCUCCAUGGGCUAUACUCGGGAAUGGCAGCCCCUCCUGGGCUGAACUGGGGAUUGGGAGCCCCUCCUUGGGCUAUAGUCGGGAAUAGGAGCCCCUCCUGGGCUGAACUUGGGAACAGGAGCCCAUCCUGCGCUUGACUCGGGAACAGGAGCCCUUCCUGGCCUUGACUCGGGAACAGGAGCCCUUUCUGGCCUUGACUCGGGAACAGGAUCCCAUCCUGGGCUUGACUCGGGUACAGGAGCCCUUCCUGGUCUUGACUCGGGAACAGGAGCCCUUUCUGGCCUUGACUCGUGAACAGGAGCCCAUCCUGCGCUUGACU
This is a long non-coding RNA of Cyprinus carpio carpio, 1304 nucleotides long. The record is from Ensembl. Lineage: Eukaryota; Metazoa; Chordata; Actinopteri; Cypriniformes; Cyprinidae.